RNAcentral lists this transfer RNA (78 nucleotides) under Trueperaceae bacterium. RNAcentral's name for it is "tRNA-Pro". It matches the Rfam family "tRNA". Rfam says of the family: Transfer RNA (tRNA) molecules are approximately 80 nucleotides in length. Lineage: Bacteria; Thermotogati; Deinococcota; Deinococci; Trueperales; Trueperaceae. The record is from RNAcentral.
CGGGGCGUAGCGCAGUCUGGUUAGCGCACUUGGUUUGGGACCAAGGGGUCGUGAGUUCGAAUCCCACCGCCCCGACCA